CGGGUGAGUAAUGUAUGGGGAUCUGCCUGAUGGAGGGGGAUAACUACUGGAAACGGUAGCUAAUACCGCAUAACGUCGCAAGACCAAAGAGGGGGACCUUAGGGCCUCUUGCCAUCGGAUGUGCCCAGAUGGGAUUAGCUAGUAGGUGGGGUAAUGGCUCACCUAGGCGACGAUCCCUAGCUGGUCUGAGAGGAUGACCAGCCACACUAGAACUGAGACACGGUCCAG
This 228-nucleotide ribosomal RNA is filed under the name uncultured bacterium. RNAcentral describes it as "partial 16S ribosomal RNA". It matches the Rfam family "Bacterial small subunit ribosomal RNA", at positions 103 to 334 of the family's 1533-position model. The record is from RNAcentral.